UGGAUUUCGACAUUAUGAAUUUAGGGUUAUCGUUCGAUCUCCCUAUUCCUUUUUAUCUCGAUGCGUCAGUUGGUAUCAGAGCCAGGUUUUGCCUGACUCGAGGUGUCUCCAAUGGCUCGUCCAAAGGAAAAAGAUAGGACCUAUGGAGACGGGGAACCAAUCACUCUCAAUGAAUUUGAUGUUGCAGUUGUUCCAUACUUCAUGGGGAUUGACUGCAUUGAAGGCUUUCUCCAAUGGGUUACAGAUGUAGAGGAAAUGUUUAAUUCAAUAAUGAUACCAGAAGAGUAGAUGGUG
RNAcentral lists this long non-coding RNA (294 nucleotides) under Prunus persica (peach). RNAcentral's name for it is "long non-coding RNA (PPER_LNC005893)". The record is from RNAcentral. Lineage: Eukaryota; Viridiplantae; Streptophyta; Magnoliopsida; Rosales; Rosaceae.